This is a long non-coding RNA of Spinacia oleracea (spinach), 1364 nucleotides long. RefSeq lists it as uncharacterized. Lineage: Eukaryota; Viridiplantae; Streptophyta; Magnoliopsida; Caryophyllales; Amaranthaceae. The record is from RefSeq and is a predicted model, not a curated record. The transcript has 2 exons.
UCCCGUCUCUCUCUCAUCUUAUUUUUUAAAAAAAAUCGAUGUGAACAUUUGUUUGGUACCUUGAUUGAAAAUUUUAUUUUGGUAAAAGGAACCUUUGAUUGAGGUUAAAUUUUAUAAUCAUAAGUACAUUCGCCUGAUAAUUGCUGUUUUAUUUCUGAUUUUUCGGCCAUAUUGUUAUACAAUGUUAUUUGGGUAUUAGAUGUUGUUUUAGGGUUUAUAUGAUUUUAUGGGGAAUCUCAUUAGUUGUCAACUAAUUGUUUUUCAUCCUGCUAAUUGUAGGAGCAGUUGAAUUGCAUGUUUGUUGUAAUUUGUUUUGUGGUGACAAUGUAAUUCAAUGGUGGAAUUGGAAUUGGUGAUUCGUCGUAUCAGUAAAAACAAAAUGCCGGUUUGAUAUGCUCAAAAGUCUUGUUCUCCCGGCUGGAAUGUCGUGCCAUUACCAUGGUGUGAUUGUUGAAAUAUUUGAGACUGCCCAUCAAAAUAAAACAGUCUUCCUUAAUAGUUGCACUUACUUUCUGGGAUUUACCAUGAAAAUUGCCAGUUUUUGUUAUACAGUACUCCGUAACUGCAAAAUCUUGUUCUAAGAUUUCCCAAUCUUUCGAUACUUCUGUGUAAUGAGGAGAUUAUAGGAAAGUUUCAACAAUUAUCAAAGACUAUGCCUUAAUCACGAGGGAGUUGGGAGUUGGGAUUUGGAUAUCAUGUGAGAACUAUUUCCUUAUAGAGGGAGUAAUUACCAAGUACUGAUGGAAAAUGGAUGUGUAGGAUUGAUCGAAGGAUCAUUUUUUUGGUGUUUGGAAACUUAGUGGUAGGAAAUUUUUCGUCGAUUCAAAGAGAUUGAGUUAGUUAUAUAAUCAAAUUAACUUGCAUUUGCUCUUGGAUUGAAAGAGUCCUAUGCAGUACUAGAAAAAUGAGACAUUCCCAUGCUGAGUACCAAAUCUGUUGUCAAUGUGUUCUUGCUGCUGAACAGAUGUAGUCCUCUCUCUACCCUUCUUUUUGUAGACCUCUCUUUGCUAAUGCCAUUUUCACUUGCUUUAAAAGGUGAUAGGUGAGUUGAUUAUCUUGCCUGGGAAUGGGUUUUUGAUUUAGGAACUGAGAAGAAUGAUGGUGAUUGGUGAGGAUCAUACGGUGUAUGAGUGUAUCUUUAAGAAAAUGUUUAUAGCUAUAAUUAACAGUGUGUUUUUAAGAGUGUGGCUGACGUUGGUGUUGGAAUGCCUAUGUUAUGAAUGCUUAGUGAGUAGGUUUUUUGUUUAAAAAACAGACCACCCCAUGCAUUCUUCGAGAACCCUUCUCUUAUCAAUUUCUUGAACCUCCUGAAGACAAUAACAGAUAUAUGAUGAAGCCUACAGGAGAAUCCUGAUUUAUCUUUA